RNAcentral lists this ribosomal RNA (986 nucleotides) under Alphaproteobacteria bacterium. Its description in RNAcentral is "bacterial LSU rRNA". It matches the Rfam family "Bacterial large subunit ribosomal RNA", at positions 1931 to 2925 of the family's 2925-position model. The record is from RNAcentral. Lineage: Bacteria; Pseudomonadati; Pseudomonadota; Alphaproteobacteria.
CGGCCGUAACUAUAACGGUCCUAAGGUAGCGAAAUUCCUUGUCGGGUAAGUUCCGACCUGCACGAAUGGCGUAACGACUUCCCCGCUGUCUCCAACAUCACCUCAGUGAAAUUGAAUUCUCCGUGAAGAUGCGGAGUUCCCACGGUUAGACGAGAAGACCCCGUGCACCUUUACUACAACUUUGCACUGGUGUUAGGAUCUAAAUGUGUAGGAUAGGUGGGAGCCUAUGAAGCGUCGGCGCUAGUUGACGUGGAGGCACCCUUGAAAUACCACCCUUUUAGGUUUUGACAUCUAACUGAGAUCCAUGAAACUGGAUCCAGGACCCUGCAUGGUGGGUAGUUUGACUGGGGCGGUCGCCUCCUAAAGAGUAACGGAGGCGCACGAAGGUAGGCUCAAGUUGGUCGGAAAUCAACUGGAGAGUGUAAUGGCACAAGCCUGCUUAACUGCGAGACUGACAGGUCGAGCAGAAACGAAAGUUGGUCAUAGUGAUCCGGUGGCGCUGCGUGGAAGGGCCAUCGCUCAACGAAUAAAAGGUACGCCGGGGAUAACAGGCUGAUCUCCCCCAAGAGUUCACAUCGACGGGGAGGUUUGGCACCUCGAUGUCGACUCAUCACAUCCUGGGGCUGGAGCAGGUCCCAAGGGUUUGGCUGUUCGCCAAUUAAAGUGGUACGUGAGUUGGGUUCAGAACGUCGUGAGACAGUUCGGUUUCUAUCUGCCGUGGGCGUUGAAGAAUUGAGAAGAGCUGCCCAUAGUACGAGAGGACCGGGGUGGACGUACCGCUGGUGUACCAGUUGUCCUGCCAAGGGCACCGCUGGGUAGCUAAGUAAGGAAGAGAUAACCGCUGAAUGCAUCUAAGCGGGAAGCUCCCUUCAAGAUAAGUUCUUCCUAUGAGAGUCGUUAUAGAUGAUAACGUUGAUAGGCUGGGUGUGAAAGUGUGGUAACACAUGAAGCUAACCAGUACUAAUAACUCCAUUGACUUAUUCAUU